CUUCUCAUCACAAUAGUAGCACAAUCCUUUCUCUUGACGUUCCCUCACCUCUUGAUUAGUGAUUCUUCGAAAGGUGGUGGGAUUAGCAUUUGCAUUGGGAUUCCCACGUUGGACUGGUCGAGGGCCUAGUACUCCAGAAGCUGAAGUUGAGUUUAUUUUUGAUGCCGUUGUUGCUGGUUGGAAGCGGCUUGGAUCAGGUGACUUUUUCUGUAGUCGAUUACGUUCUUCAACCAACCGUGUAACUCCUAUAGCAUCCGCUAAUGUUUUGGGCUGUUUAAUUUUCACAUCUAAACG
RNAcentral lists this long non-coding RNA (294 nucleotides) under Ricinus communis (castor bean). RNAcentral's name for it is "long non-coding RNA (RCOM_LNC001506)". Lineage: Eukaryota; Viridiplantae; Streptophyta; Magnoliopsida; Malpighiales; Euphorbiaceae. The record is from RNAcentral.